Molecule: ribosomal RNA, 853 nt
Filed under: uncultured organism
Description: bacterial SSU rRNA
Rfam family: Bacterial small subunit ribosomal RNA
Source: RNAcentral
UGGCUCAGAGUGAACGCUAGCGGCGUGGUUAAGACAUGCAAGUCGAACGAUGAAGCCCAGCUUGCUGGGCGGAUUAGUGGCAUACGGGUGCGUAACACGUGAGCAACCUGCCUUGAAGUGGGGAAUAGCCCGGGGAAACCCGGAUUAAUACCGCAUGUGGUCUCUUUUCGCAUGAAAAGACGACUAAAGUUUGUAAUGACUCUUCAAGAGGGGCUCGCGGCCUAUCAGCUUGUUGGUGAGGUAAAGGCUCACCAAGGCAAAGACGGGUAGCUGGUCUGAGAGGAUGAUCAGCCACACUGGAACUGAGAUACGGUCCAGACACCUACGGGUGGCAGCAGUUUCGAAUCAUUCACAAUGGGGGAAACCCUGAUGGUGCAACGCCGCGUGGAGGAUGACGGCCUUCGGGUUGUAAACUCCUGUCACCAAGGAACAAACGGCAGGUUCAUAGCCUGUCCUGAGUUAACUUGGAGAGGAAGAGGUGGCUAACUCCGUGCCAGCAGCCGCGGUAAUACGGAGACCUCGAGCGUUACUCGGAUUCACUGGGCGUAAAGAGUAUGUAGGCUGUUUGGUAUGUCAGGUGUGAAAGCCCGAAGCUCAACUUCGGAAUUGCGCCUGAAACUACCGGACUUGAGGCCUGGAGAGGGGAGUGGAAUUCCUGGUGUAGCGGUGAAAUGCGUAGAUAUCAGGAGGAACACCAAUGGCGAAGGCAGCUCCCUGGACAGGUUCUGACGCUGAGAUACGAAAGCGUGGGUAGCGAAAGGGAUUAGAUACCCCUGUAGUCCACGCCGUAAACGUUGUACACUAGGUUUCGGAGGGCCUACCCCUUCGGAGCUCAAGCUAACGCGAUAAGUGU